UCAGUGUCUCUGCAGAAUGAGAAAAAACCUAUUGCCACAAUAGUGAAUGCCAAGCAAUUGAGCUGAUAGAAAAGGGAAGCAGCAAUUUUGAGAGUGGCUGGUUGCUGCCAGGAAGACUCAUCCUGACCUGCACAGAAGGGCAGAGGCCAAUGGCUGUUCUCUGCCUGAUUAAGAAUGUGCCUGCCCAGCUUGAAUUUGAUGAAGCAUCUCAGGAGGCUGGUGUAAAGGACAGACACAUUUCCAAUGAGAAAAAAACAAACCCAGUCUCAGAAGAUAUGAUUUUCACACCAGCUCAAAUCAGUACUCAUAAGUUUUACAAGUUCCUGUGAACAACUGCAGAUCUUCUAUUCUCACAGAAAGGAAUAAUACUAUACAGUAAAGGGACACUGUGGGGUGAAGCAGAGCAGUAUUAUAUUGGUAGAAAUGUUUUUGCUUUUGAUAAAUAUGGUACGAAAUCAUGUAAUGUUAUGAACAUUACCCUGUGAAUAAAGCUCACAAAACACCUUGCCUAGCUUCAAAGACUUUGUACAUUGUAGAAAGCUGUGAAAGACAUGAAGACUUUCUGAUUGCAGCACAUUUGUUCUAAAGAAGAGACAAUAUUUCAUCGAUUUAAGGAGUUUGGGGUGGUUUUAUUUGUUUGGUUCUGUUUUGGCUUGGUUUCCUGUUUGUUGUUGUUGUUUGUGUGUUUUAAUUUGGUUUGGUUUGGUUUUUUUCAUUUCAAACUCUAAGAUGGGACUUUGUGACAAAAAAUCUUGUUUAUUUUUCUGACUGCAUUGGUUAGUCUAAUAAAAAAAUCUCUUCUGUGAAAAUUUUGGUGGAUAUAAAUACUGAAGGUUACUGAUACAUGCAUCAAAACUACAUUUAGGCAACCCAAUAAAUAAUCAAUACGUUGAGCUAAGCUGAUAUAGUCCUAUUUACCAUUUUUUACCUCUAAUUUUAAAUAUUCAGUGCUACAAUGCAAUCAAAAAUGCUGAUUAAUAACAAAAUCUGAUAUAAAUUAUCAUUUUACAGAAAAUAAUUGUUCCCAUAUUACUCAUUUUCAGACAUGAAGACA
Molecule: long non-coding RNA, 1054 nt
Organism: Corvus hawaiiensis (hawaiian crow)
Lineage: Eukaryota; Metazoa; Chordata; Aves; Passeriformes; Corvidae
Exons: 3
Source: RefSeq, a predicted model, not a curated record